This 1161-nucleotide long non-coding RNA is filed under the name Canis lupus familiaris (dog). RNAcentral's name for it is "lncRNA (ENSCAFG00040021537.1)". Lineage: Eukaryota; Metazoa; Chordata; Mammalia; Carnivora; Canidae. The record is from RNAcentral.
GGCACAGAACUCAAGUCUCACUGUACCCGACAGCCGGUACUGGUGGCCUCACCCUGGCCACUGUCCCCAAAGCUGGACUGUCUUCACGGUCCAUUGGUCUGGGGAAAGGGGAGGAUUUUCCCACUGGUGACCUUAUCCCCACUGGUCAGAGUGUCGCCUGCUGGGUGGCAUCCCACAACCAGGGGUGUGCAUGAAUGGGUGCCGGCCAGGUAUGCACGGGGGACGCUGGGGAAGACCUGCGUGGGAGGGGGCGCUCAGGUAGGACGUGCCUGCAGGGAGCCACUUGGCGGCCACCCAGAGCUGCUGCCCAGCAGACCAGAGGUGGUGUGUCAGGGGUGCCGAUGGCCCCCAAAGACAGUACGCUGGCCUGGGCAUUGGUCGGCUGCUGGCCUGGACUGUGAAGUGGCCGGAGGUCUGGAUCCACGCCGGUUCCCAGGCAGUGGCCGAAGAUGUGGCCGACUGUUCCCUGGCCCAGAACACAGGGCUGUGGGGCUGAGGGGUCUGGGGAGGAGGGGCUGCACGGGCCUCCGCAAGGGGGCAGAGGCCUGUGUGUCCCACGGGAGUGCCCUCCUGAGAUGCCGCAGCAAGCCGGUGGGGGGCAUGACCAGUUCAGAGGUCAUCACCUCCUUCUCGGGUCUCUCUGUGGCUUGCUCAGUGGCCCUCGGGGCAGGACGGGGCUCUGCACAGCUGAACACACACACACACACAGGGUCCCUGGGGCUAGGCCGGCCCCGGGAACUCAUCCAUCACGGAGGGCCAGAAACCGGUCCCCACGGUUUUUCCAGGUGUGGAUUUGCUUUUCCUGCCGCAGAACUUCUGUUAGCCCAUUGUCCAUGGACGCAGCAGCGUCUCCUCCGCUGCCGUGGACCCCACUCCCGCGGCGUCCUGCUGGUGCACUCAUCUUGGGACAGUGAGGCGCAGCGGGGCUUCAGGCAGGUGGCACCCAGAAGCGUUGGUCUGGUAUUGAGGCGGGAUGGCCCAGGAAGACUGGCUCACCAGGAUGAGCCAUGGUGGACUGGCCCGGGAGGGGUGGGCUGUGUGCUGGGCAGCGAUGUCCGCGCUGCCACCCGGUGGCCUGCUUUUGAACGUGGCUCUCCUUCCAGCCAGAGUCUUGGCUCUGAAGGGAGGGCUGCUCCCACCUGUGGACACAGGAUGGGAUAA